Molecule: ribosomal RNA, 262 nt
Filed under: Rahnella inusitata
Lineage: Bacteria; Pseudomonadati; Pseudomonadota; Gammaproteobacteria; Enterobacterales; Yersiniaceae
Description: partial 16S ribosomal RNA
Rfam family: Bacterial small subunit ribosomal RNA
Source: RNAcentral
GGUAAUACGGAGGGUGCAAGCGUUAAUCGGAAUUACUGGGCGUAAAGCGCACGCAGGCGGUUUGUUAAGUCAGAUGUGAAAUCCCCGAGCUUAACUUGGGAACUGCAUUUGAAACUGGCAAGCUAGAGUCUUGUAGAGGGGGGUAGAAUUCCAGGUGUAGCGGUGAAAUGCGUAGAGAUCUGGAGGAAUACCGGUGGCGAAGGCGGCCCCCUGGACAAAGACUGACGCUCAGGUGCGAAAGCGUGGGGAGCAAACAGGAUUA